UACGUAUGGGGCGAGCGUUGUUCGGAUUUAUUGGGCGUAAAGGGCGUGUAGGCGGCGCGCCAAGUCUGGUGUGAAGAUGCAGCGGCCUAACCCUGCAGAGGCGCCGGAUACUGGCGGGCUUGAGUGCCUGAGGGGAAGCUGGAAUUCCAGGUGUAGGGGCGAAAUCUGUAGAUAUCUGGAAGAACACCGGUGGCGAAGGCGAGCUUCUAUCAGAGCACUGACGCUGAGGCGCGAAAGCGUGGGGA
RNAcentral lists this ribosomal RNA (245 nucleotides) under uncultured bacterium. Its description in RNAcentral is "partial 16S ribosomal RNA". It matches the Rfam family "Bacterial small subunit ribosomal RNA", at positions 524 to 767 of the family's 1533-position model. The record is from RNAcentral.